GUCCACGCCGUAAACGAUGAUAACUAGCUGUCGGGGGUCAUAGACCUUCGGUGGCGCAGCUAACGCAUUAAGUUAUCCGCCUGGGGAGUACGGCCGCAAGGUUAAAACUCAAAGAAAUUGACGGGGGCCUGCACAAGCGGUGGAGCAUGUGGUUUAAUUCGAAGCAACGCGCAGAACCUUACCAGCGUUUGACAUCCUCAUCGCGGAUUCCAGAGAUGGUUUCCUUCAGUUCGGCUGGAUGAGUGACAGGUGCUGCAUGGCUGUCGU
This 267-nucleotide ribosomal RNA is filed under the name uncultured bacterium. RNAcentral's name for it is "partial 16S ribosomal RNA". It matches the Rfam family "Bacterial small subunit ribosomal RNA", at positions 793 to 1055 of the family's 1533-position model. The record is from RNAcentral.